AUGGUAGAACAGUUGAGAAGGUGAUUAUUGUAGGGAGUGGACCAUUGUGCUUCUUUUAUGGGGUGGUGAGGGAAGGAAUCUUCUAAUAAGAACUUAUGUCUUUGGUCCCAAGUAGCUGAUGAGAAGAGGACUAGUUCUGUUUGAGUCUCAUUGAGUGUAAAAAAGCUAGGAAAAACGUUAAAAAAAACACGACUUGAAAAAAAUUUGUAUUACAGCACCUCUUUUUGAAGUGCCAUCUCAUUUAUCGUGUAUUGUUGGAAUACAUAGUUAACUGGUGUUUUGAAGUGCUUUUGCCAUCAGAGCUCCUAGAGCAAAUGGAUAAGGAUAAAAUCUGACUUCUCUUUCUCUUUAAUAGGCACCGUUUUUGUUCACCAUUUUCUGAGUUCUGGUUAGGAUUUGGCGACAGUAUGAAGAUGAAUUUGUGUGUCCCAGAAGGCAAGCCACAUGAGUAGUUGAGUAAGUAGGAGGCCAUGUACAGUUGGAAGAAAGGGUUUAUGGUGUUCUAGGUAGCCACCAGAGGAGACAGCAAAGAAGCAGUAUUUGUCCCAGCUGUGAUCACCACUGACACUACACUGCUGCUUUUUCUUGGCAGCGAUAUUAUUCUUCUUUUAUAUUAGCCAUUUUAUAAAUUCUGAAAGGGAACACAUCUUAUUCUUUGCCAAUUCUGAAAACUCUGGCCAGGUUAGCUUAAGAAAAUAAGAUAAUAAUAAUACCUAAGUAUCUCUAUAUCUACAGAUAGGGAUCUACAGACAAGACAAGGUAGGUUUAGGAUAAAGGGCAGGAGCCAGGUCUAGGGAAAACAGUGGGUCAGAACAAGAUAGGGGUAGACCAAAGGAGGACACAUAUAAUGGAGAGUGAGAUCAAGAAUGACCAGAUAGCAACUAGAGGAACUUAUAGUGGGGAAUGAGACAAGGCAUUAUAUUAAAAGUCAUGACAGCAAACACCAGAACACAUACUAGAAGAAAGGCAGUUGGUGAAAGGUUUAUAAUUUAGGAAUUAGAACAUCCAUCUACGCUGAAAAAUAGGAUUGUUGUAAGAAUUGCCAUGAACUGCCUACAGCAUGGGUACUGAGACAGCAAGCAGUCUUUUGCUAGCCAGGAAAGUUCUUACAAGUUCUUCCUGCGUAGUAGCUACUCCUAGCUGAUAGCAGUCAUGGAAUACAGCAAUUCAGUUUACGUCUGGCAGCUCCUGACUCCUGAGCAGCUGGUCUGAAUCACUGGAGUUUUAUGGAAGGCUAGGUUCUGAUAAAUUUUGUUCUCUCUCAAAGUAGAAAGAUUGAUAGAUUAUGGUCCGUAAUCUAGAAUUUUGUUCUCUCUCAAAAGUAGAAAGAAAAUUUUGUUCUCUCUCAAAGUAGAAAGAUUGCUAGAUUGUGGUUCAUGUGCAGAAACUUUGAGUUAGGUUGACUUUUGGAAGCAGAUCAGUAGCUAUUGUGGUAUGCCCACCACUGGCAUUUCAAAGAAAUGCAUAUUGAAGCCUUCUGAAAGUCCCACUUUUGCAGAUACCAUUACGACAUGUAAUUUUCUUCCAUAAAAUAAAAUUUUUGCUCUGGCUAGCCUAUUCACCAAAAAUAUUUGUGCAAUGGGUUUUUAUUGUUUCUAACUAAGCAUAUAGUUAACUGAUUCAAUUCGUAAGUCUGAGUGAUUCCUCGAUGACUUUUCACUCUUGUCUUUUUCUUUUUGUGUUUUUUUGAGAUGGAGUCUCACUCUAUUGCCCAGGCUGGAGUGCAGUGGCGUGAUCUCGGCUCACUGCAACCUCUGCCUCCUGGGUUCAAGCAGUUCUCCCUGCCUCAAUCUCCUGAGUAGCUGGGACUACAGGCGCCUGCCACCAUGCCCGGAUAAUUUUUGUAUAUUUAGUAGAGAUGGGGUUUCGCCAUGUUGGCCAGGCUGGUCUCGAACUCCUGACCUUAGGUGAUUUGCCCACUUCGGUCUCCCAAAGUGCUUGGAUUACAGGUGUGAGCCACUGCGCCCAGCCUCACUCUUGUCUUUUGUGGUAACUUACACUAGUCUUUCCUUAUAUGUCUUCACUUUUACCACCAGCUCUAGCACUGGACUGUUUUUUUAUUUUUAUUUUUAUGUUUAUUUCAAAAAAAAAAACACAAAACAAAACACCUUUUAAAACAAAAGCUUCAGAAAAGUUACUGUUUCUAGCAUCAAGUAGAGAAAAAUAAACACCACCACAAAGUGAUGAUAUUACAUGUACAGAAUGUUACAAGUUUAAGGCCUAUUUAUUUUGUAAACAUUUGCAAGCCUUUUAUAAGCAAAACUUGUAAAACCGAAUCUUACAUGGAACCCUCAUAUAGAAAACUGUUAACAUUCCUGCCUGAAGAUGGUGUGGAGACAUUUGUCUUGAGGUCUCUGAGGCACUUUGAUGAAACUCGAGAGUUCAGAGGAAUACAGUUUGAAGAACGCUGAUUUAAUUUGGUCCCGCUGUUUUUGUAGAUGAGGAAAUUCAGACUAAAAGGUCCAGUGUUGGUUUCUGUGGCAAGCAAGCAUAAAAUAAAUCUGAAAAGUUUUAGCAAAGCCCAUUCAUCUGCCUUCCAGGUAUUGAGUUCUGGUAAGAACAGGAGUGCUUUUGUAAAACUUUGUGAUUUCUCUUGUAUUCUUCAUUUGCCAGAUUUUCUUACAUUUUUGAGAUUCUUCUAACUUUGCAUUUUCUCCUAAGCCUUUUGUGAGAAGCAGUUUUUAAUUUUUCUGAAGCCUUAUUGAAUAGAAAGACUUGAGUGAAUCUGUGGGGAGACGCUGACCGUGAAGAACCCCAGAGGCUGUCAGGGGAAGAAGGUUAAGGGUUGGUGGAUUUUAGAGAGAGGGGAGUUCCUUGUGCAUCACAGCCACAGGAGAUUUAAAAAUGCGUAAGCCGAGGCAUGGGGCAAUGAAGUAACUUGCUCAGUGUCAUACAGCUUGGUGGUGAUGCAGUUAGAAUUGCAAUUCUAACUGAUCUCUAAUAAGGCUGUGCUUUUUCAACCAUUUCCAUUGUACUCUCUUGCCUCUAACUGUUGUCUGGAUAGCUAUAAUAUUUGAGUAGAUACAGUGUUAUAUUUCUCAAGUUGAUGACAUUUCAUCCUUAAAUUCAAGACUUAGGUCCUAUAAAUUGGUGUUUUUCUUUAUCUUUUAAAAAAUCUUAAGCUCUGUAAAAUGAUUCUGCUUUGAACGAAGGGUACUUAUAUCUGCCAAAAUCAUUAUUGAGCUUCUCUAGUCAUUUAUUUUCUUGAAAUUGAAAUGAAACUUUCUGAACACAGCCUUACUGAAUAUGGAUUUCAGAGCCAUAAUAAUGCUUCUUGCCUCUGCAGAUUCUGAAUUGAUCUGAGUUUGGCAGUGAAUUAUGUAUGUGUUAUUUCAGGAAUUUUGCACAUGCCCUGCUUUAAACCACUGAUUAUUUUUGUAAAAUGCUGUUGUGUGGAUUUGGCUCAUUCCAUUGACGCUGAACUCAUCAGAUGGCUAUAUUGUCUUCUAGGAAUGUGACUUGAAUUGAUUAAAUGGCAUAGGCAGCAACAUCUGUUUUGUAAAGCUAGUUUAGUUUCCUAAAACUUUAAAUUUUCAAAUUUACAGCUUACAAAGAGAAUGAAGCAUAUUUCUUUAAUGCCAUAAAAAGACUUUCAUGGAGUUUUGAUGAUAGCUUGUUUUAACCUUGCCCUUAACCUAAUUCUUUUUAGAACUUAUUUUCUUACUGUAUUAUAUUGCUCAUUUUCAAGAAAAAGACAUAUUUGUAAUGUUGGAAACUUUAUAGUCUUAUAUGGAUGGCUCUUAGGUUUUUCAGAUCAUUCAUCCAUUUGAAGACCUGCAGAAAGCUUUGGAUGGUCUCCUAGAAAAAAAAGCACCCAUACACGUGCUCCUAAAACUCUGUACAAUUGUGGGAGGUAAAGCUCACCUGUACAGAUCCCCCUGAAGCCUCCUGCCUCCUUGAUGUCCUUUGCUUCACAUGUGUUAUUAAAUGCAUUAAUAAUGCUGCUGACUGUGCACAUAAGUUACCUUUCUUUAUACACAGCUUAUAGAUUUGUUGAAUAUUUGGAUCACCAUUUUUAAAAAUCAAAUGUUUUAUGAUGUUGAUCUACAUGUGUCAUUUUUAUUUCUCGGGGUUAAUGUCUAUUUUUAUUCUUUUUCUCUCAUCCUUGUAAUUUCUUUUUUAGUUAAGGAAAUGUAUCCAUCUCAGGGUUUCUUCAUUUAUUAUUACAACCCUUAUUUGGAUGGACUUAAUGACCAAAAUUUAUAUGGUAUUACAGUACAUAGGCUUACCUGAUCUAAUCUUGUAGAAGACUUUUCUUGUAUACUUCUUCGUGUAACAUUUUCAAAUAAUAUUUUCAAUUUGGGAUAGAGGACUUUAAAGAAAGUUAAGACUUGGGUAAAGAUAGAUACUCUCAUAUGACAACCCAUGGGGGCUUUUUAAAAUUAUACUAGUGGAUGUGUAUUUUUAUAUUCAGUUGAUCCUAGUCUUUGUACAGUCAGUUUUCUUUUACAAUCUGGAAUUUUGCCCAUGGUUUCAAGGCCAGCAUGGGUAUUUACUAAGUAAUCUUGAGGAUGACUGUUCUUCUUUUGUAACCUGCUCUCUCCAGAUCUGAUCUGUAUCUGUUUUAACCCAGAAGAUGUGCCCUUUUGCUUACACCAUCCCUCUUGUUUUAAGUUAAAAAGACAAAAGCUACCCGAUCUACUAUGUCAUAGGAAUUAUUAUGAUAUUCUCUACCUCUCUAGCCCUGUAU
This 4690-nucleotide long non-coding RNA is filed under the name Homo sapiens (human). RNAcentral describes it as "HSALNT0370730". Lineage: Eukaryota; Metazoa; Chordata; Mammalia; Primates; Hominidae. The record is from RNAcentral.